This 497-nucleotide ribosomal RNA is filed under the name uncultured Glomeromycotina. RNAcentral describes it as "partial small subunit ribosomal RNA". It matches the Rfam family "Eukaryotic small subunit ribosomal RNA", at positions 591 to 1092 of the family's 1831-position model. Lineage: Eukaryota; Fungi; Glomeromycota. The record is from RNAcentral.
CCAAUAGCGUAUAUUAAAGUUGUUGCAGUUAAAAAGCUCGUAGUUGAAUUUCGGGAUCAGUACGUUGGUCGUGCCUUGGUACGUACUGGCGUUACUGGUUCCUACCUUCUGACGAACCGUCAUGUCAUUAAUUUGGUGUGGCGGGGAAUCAGGACUGUUACUUUGAAAAAAUUAGAGUGUUUAAAGCAGGCUCGCGCUUGAAUACAUUAGCAUGGAAUAAUGAAAUAGGACGUUCGAUCCUAUUUUGUUGGUUUCUAGGAUUGACGUAAUGAUUAAUAGGGAUAGUUGGGGGCAUUAGUAUUCAAUUGUCAGAAGUGAAAUUCUUGGAUUUAUUGAAGACUAACUACUGCGAAAGCAUUUGCCAAGGAUGUUUUCAUUAAUCAAGAACGAAAGUUAGGGGAUCGAAGACGAUCAGAUACCGUCGUAGUCUUAACCAUAAACUAUGCCGACUAGGGAUCGGAUGAUGUUAUUUUUAAUGACUCAUUCGGCGCCUUACG